This 404-nucleotide unclassified non-coding RNA is filed under the name soil metagenome. Its description in RNAcentral is "partial contains 5.8S ribosomal RNA, internal transcribed spacer 2, and large subunit ribosomal RNA". The stretch from base 1 to 121 matches the Rfam family "5.8S ribosomal RNA", at positions 35 to 154 of the family's 154-position model. The record is from RNAcentral.
GAUGAAGAACGCAGCGAAAUGCGAUAAGUAAUGUGAAUUGCAGAAUUCAGUGAAUCAUCGAAUCUUUGAACGCACCUUGCGCCCUUUGGCUAUUCCGAAGGGCAUGCCUGUUUGAGUAUCAUGAACACCUCAACUCUCAUGGUUUGCCAUGAUGAGCUUGGACUUUGGGGGUCUUGCCGGCCUAUGGGUCGGCUCCUCUCAAAUUAAUCAGCUUGCCAGUGUUUGGUGGCAUCACAGGUGUGAUACCUAUCUACGCUUGUGGUUUUCCAUCAGGUAACCUUCAGUGAUGGAGGUUCGCUGGGGCUCAUAAAUGUCUCUCCUCAGUGAGGACAGCUUUUUUGAAAGUUUGAUCUCAAAUCAGGUAGGACUACCCGCUGAACUUAAGCAUAUCAAUAAGCGGAGGA